CUACGUGCCAGCAGCCGCGGUAAUACGGAAGGUCCAGGCGUUAUCCGGAUUUAUUGGGUUUAAAGGGAGCGUAGGCGGACGAUUAAGUCAGCUGUGAAAGUUUGCGGCUCAACCGUAAGAUUGCAGUUGAAACUGGUUGUCUUGAGUGCACGCAGGGAUGUUGGAAUUCAUGGUGUAGCGGUGAAAUGCUUAGAUAUCAUGAAGAACUCCGAUCGCGAAGGCAUAUGUCCGGAGUGCAACUGACGCUGAGGCUCGAAAGUGCGGGUAUCGAACAGGAUUAGAUACCCUGGUAGUCCGCACAGUAAACGAUGAAUACUCGCAGUAUGCGAUAUAAUGUAUGCUGCCAAGUGAAAACGUUAAGUAUUCCACCUGGGGAGUACGCCGGCAACGGUGAAACUCAAAGGAAUUGACGGGGGCCCGCACAAGCGGAGGAACAUGUGGUUUAAUUCGAUGAUACGCGAGGAACCUUACCCGGGCUUGAAC
This 483-nucleotide ribosomal RNA is filed under the name uncultured bacterium. RNAcentral's name for it is "bacterial SSU rRNA". It matches the Rfam family "Bacterial small subunit ribosomal RNA", at positions 501 to 986 of the family's 1533-position model. The record is from RNAcentral.